This 497-nucleotide ribosomal RNA is filed under the name uncultured bacterium. RNAcentral describes it as "partial 16S ribosomal RNA". It matches the Rfam family "Bacterial small subunit ribosomal RNA", at positions 28 to 507 of the family's 1533-position model. The record is from RNAcentral.
GAUGAACGCUGGCGGCGUGCCUAAUACAUGCAAGUCGAGCGAACAGACGAGGAUCUUGCUCCUCUGACGUUAGCGGCGGACGGGUGAUUAACACGUGGAUAACCUACCUAUAAGACUGGGUUCACUUCGGGAAACCGGAGCUAAUACCGGAUAAUAUAUUGAACCGCAUGGUUCAUUAGUGAAAGACGGUUUUGCUGUCACUUAUUGAUGGAUCCUCGCCGCAUUAGCUAGUUGGUAAGGUAACGGCUUACCAAGGCAACGAUGCGUAGCCGACCUGAGAGGGUGAUCGGCCACACUGGAACUGAGACACGGUCCAGACUCCUACGGGAGGCAGCAGUAGGGAAUCUUCUGCAAUGGGCGAAAGCCUGACGGAGCAACGCCGCGUGAGUGAUGAAGGUCUUCGGAUCGUAAAACUCUGUUAGUAGGGAAGAACAAUUGUGUAAGUAAAUAUGCACGACUUGACGGUACCUAAUCAGAAAGCCACGGCUAACUACGUG